This 677-nucleotide small RNA is filed under the name Pan troglodytes (chimpanzee). RNAcentral's name for it is "processed transcript". Lineage: Eukaryota; Metazoa; Chordata; Mammalia; Primates; Hominidae. The record is from RNAcentral.
UUGCCUUAGCAUGGCUACCUAGGGAUCUGUUCACUGAUUUAGAGGGUCCCAGAGCUCUGGGUCGGGACUGAGGUGAAAGAGCGGAAAAACGCGAGAAGCGGUGUUCCUUCUACACAGAGGCUAGAGUGCGGAUCGGCUGAGUCGGCUGCAGGCGCCCCUGCCUCCGUCAGCGUCCAGGUGACCGCCGUUCCCGCCCCGCUCUUCCCUGGCUGGACUGGAGGAGGCCGCGCCGAUGAACCUGACCGAGGUGCGUGCAGCGUCCCAGGCCGCCCCGCCCAACCCCUCCUCCCAGUGCUGAAGUCCCAAGGAGCCGCCCUGCAGGCCGAAAGAAUGAGGGUCGUGAUCAACUCAGUAUGCCACUGGAGGCUAUAUGAGUAAACAGCAAACUGUUUCUCAUGAAAGCAGGAUGUUGGCAAACUGACAAACUGCGUCUGCCACCCAGAAGGAAUGCUGAAGGCAGUCACGACCCAGGCACAAGUGUUUCUUGUGAUUAGGCAUAAUUGAAGCCUGUUAACAAUAAUGUGAACUUGUGAUCAAUUAAGCAGCUGACCAGUCGUUACCUCCUCCUCCCUUUCAUCCUACCCAAUAAAUGUGGAGGGCUGUGGAAGCUCAGGGGCUGCCUUUGCUCACUAGAAGCAGGGAGCUCUCUUCUUCCCCAGUUCGCCUUCUUUAAAACA